RNAcentral lists this ribosomal RNA (255 nucleotides) under uncultured bacterium. RNAcentral describes it as "partial 16S ribosomal RNA". It matches the Rfam family "Bacterial small subunit ribosomal RNA", at positions 524 to 776 of the family's 1533-position model. The record is from RNAcentral.
UACGUAGGGUGCGAGCGUUAAUCGGAAUUACUGGGCGUAAAGCGUGCGCAGGCGGUUAUGUAAGACAGGUGUGAAAUCCCAGGGCUUAACCUUGGAACUGCAUUUGUGACUGCAUAGCUAGAGUACGGUAGAGGGGGAUGGAAUUCCGCGUGUAGCAGUGAAAUGCGUAGAUAUGCGGAGGAACACCGAUGGCGAAGGGCAAUCCCCUGGACCUGUACUGACGCUCAUGCACGAAAGGCGUGGGGAGCAAACAGG